Molecule: ribosomal RNA, 497 nt
Filed under: uncultured bacterium
Lineage: Bacteria
Description: partial 16S ribosomal RNA
Rfam family: Bacterial small subunit ribosomal RNA
Source: RNAcentral
GAUGAACGCUGGCGGCGUGCCUAAUACAUGCAAGUCGAGCGAACAGACGAGGAGCUUGCUCCUCUGACGUUAGCGGCGGACGGGUGAGUAACACGUGGAUAACCUACCUAUAAUACUGGGAUAACUUCGGGAAACCGGCGCUAAUAUCGGAUAAUAUAUUGAACCGCAUGGUUCAAUAGUGAAAGACGGUUUUGCUGUCACUUAUAGAUGGAUCCGCGCCGCAUUAGCUAGUUGGUAAGGUAACGGCUUACCAAGGCAACGAUGCGUAACCGACCUGAGAGGGUGAUCGGCCACACUGGAACUGAGACACGGUCCAGACUCCUACGGGAGGCAGCAGUAGGGAAUCUUCCGCAAUGGGCGAAAGCCUGACGGAGCAACGCCGCGUGAGUGAUGAAGGUCUUCGGAUCGUAAAACUCUGUUAUUAGGGAAGAACAAAUGUGUAAGUAACUAUGCACGUCUUGACGGUACCUAAUCAGAAAGGCACGGCUAACUACGUG